Molecule: long non-coding RNA, 515 nt
Filed under: Taeniopygia guttata (zebra finch)
Lineage: Eukaryota; Metazoa; Chordata; Aves; Passeriformes; Estrildidae
Description: lncRNA (ENSTGUG00000029494.1)
Source: RNAcentral
GUGAAGCACAGAGCAUUCACCAGGGCCCACAGCAAUAUUUGGUCUCAUUCUUGUUAACCUGCUACAUUUCCUUCCCAGUGAAUGCAUGACUUCUGCUUACUCACAAAAGCACACUUUAGGCUUGGACACUGAAGGGAUGGGACAGGCCAGCACCUCAAUAAUCAGAACUACAUCAGACAUGUCACCUGGAAACAGCAGCACACAUCAGGUGGAUCAGGCAAAAAAUUCACAACUUCUAAUACCUGUUGUUAAAAAAGACCUUUAUGGGAUGGAGAAAACAAUAUUAUUGUCAGAGGAUCUAGGAGCCCGAUCAGAUUUUCUUGGGAGCAUGAUGCCAGGCUUUGCAGCACCUUGUUAUUUUAGAUACUGCCUGGCAGACCAGUGGGAUUUUGCACACAGCAGAGGGCUGCUUCUCACAGUUCACAAACUGGCUGUAGCACUCCCUUUCCUUGAGGACCAAUCAACUGCACUCAGGUAAGAUGCUUCUUCCCUCAGAACAGCAUUUGUGAUGUGGU